UGGGGAAUUUUGGACAAUGGGCGAAAGCCUGAUCCAGCAAUGCCGCGUGUGUGAAGAAGGCCUUCGGGUUGUAAAGCACUUUUGUCCGGAAAGAAAUCCUUGGCUCUAAUACAGUCGGGGGAUGACGGUACCGGAAGAAUAAGCACCGGCUAACUACGUGCCAGCAGCCGCGGUAAUACGUAGGGUGCAAGCGUUAAUCGGAAUUACUGGGCGUAAAGCGUGCGCAGGCGGUUUGCUAAGACCGAUGUGAAAUCCCCGGGCUCAACCUGGGAACUGCAUUGGUGACUGGCAGGCUAGAGUAUGGCAGAGGGGGGUAGAAUUCCACGUGUAGCAGUGAAAUGCGUAGAGAUGUGGAGGAAUACCGAUGGCGAAGGCAGCCCCCUGGGCCAAUACUGACGCUCAUGCACGAAAGCGUGGGGAGCAAACAGGAUUAGAUACCCUGGUAGUCCACGCCCUAAAACGAUGUCAACUAGUUGUUGGGGAUUCAUUUCCUUAGUAACGUAGCUAACGCGUGAAGUUGACCGCCUGGGGGAGUACGGUCGCAAGAUUAAAACUCAAAUGAA
This 563-nucleotide ribosomal RNA is filed under the name uncultured bacterium. RNAcentral's name for it is "partial 16S ribosomal RNA". It matches the Rfam family "Bacterial small subunit ribosomal RNA", at positions 355 to 909 of the family's 1533-position model. The record is from RNAcentral.